This 529-nucleotide ribosomal RNA is filed under the name uncultured bacterium. RNAcentral's name for it is "partial 16S ribosomal RNA". It matches the Rfam family "Bacterial small subunit ribosomal RNA", at positions 355 to 900 of the family's 1533-position model. The record is from RNAcentral.
UGGGGAAUAUUGCACAAUGGGCGAAAGCCUGAUGCAGCAACGCCGCGUGAGUGAUGAAGGUCUUCGGAUUGUAAAGCUCUGUCUUUUGGGACGAUAAUGACGGUACCAAAGGAGGAAGCCACGGCUAACUACGUGCCAGCAGCCGCGGUAAUACGUAGGUGGCGAGCGUUGUCCGGAUUUACUGGGCGUAAAGGGUGCGUAGGCGGAUGUUUAAGUGAGAUGUGAAAUACCCGGGCUUAACUUGGGUGCUGCAUUUCAAACUGGAUAUCUAGAGUGCAGGAGAGGAGAAUGGAAUUCCUAGUGUAGCGGUGAAAUGCGUAGAGAUUAGGAAGAACACCAGUGGCGAAGGCGAUUCCCUGGACUGUAACUGACGCUGAGGCACGAAAGCGUGGGUAGCAAACAGGAUUAGAUACCCUGGUAGUCCACGCCGUAAACGAUGAGUACUAGGUGUAGGAGGUAUCGACCCCUUCUGUGCCGCAGUAAACACAUUAAGUACUCCGCCUGGGAAGUACGAUCGCAAGAUUAAAAC